UGUACAUUGUGAAUGCUCUUAUUUUGAAUGGUCAUGUUCUAAAGUCAAUGUUAAAAAUAACUUGUGUAGAAUUCCAAAAGAUAAUGUCCUCUCUUUUAGACGGUAUUCCCUCUUGCAAUUCUAUGAGAAAACCCGAGUCAAAAUAUGAUAAGCAAAUGCAAUAAAAUUUACAUGUCUCAUAGGUAUAGAAACCAGGUUUGUUGUGGUGGAUCCUGACCACCUUACUUUCUUGCAAGCCCCGGGUUGUAGUUAUGUUCUCAAAUGAAUGAAUAAAAGAUUUCUAUUUAUGCAUUUGUUUCAUGCAUUAUCAUAAAUGAUGCUAGGUAGAUUCGUUUGCAUUUGUUUCAUGCAUUAUCAUAAAUGAUGGCCCAAGCCUGACAACCAGAAAUCACAUACAUAUGCAUCGUACCAGCUUCGGAGGUCGAGCAAAGAAGCGGAAGUCGACCAGAGAAGUAGAGAUCUAGUGGAGGAUGCCAGAUGCUGUCGUAACUUCAGAUAUAAAUCAGCCCCUCUUAAAUCCUUAUUCUUCCACAGAAUUCAACAUAUUCAUCAGCAUCAUUAAUUGCCAAGCAAAAGGUGGUGGUCAAGCUCUCAAUGAUAGAUGCCAAGAAGCGUUCAAAAGCCAUGAGAUGUGCUGCUGGAUUUCUUGGUAAUUCACUAACAAGCUCCAUUCCUCUCACUUUCGGCUCAUGAAACAGUAUUUAAUUCUUUUUUUUUUUUCUAAUUCUUCAAUUUUAAUUUUUUUUUUAAAUUUUAAUGAAAUAGGUUUAAGACCUCAUUCCAUUAAUAUUAUAUAUAUGUACUAAUGAUAGAUUAAUCUAUCAUUAUGAUUUUUCGAAUUCUUCAAUCUAUUAUAUAUAU
RNA transcript from Dendrobium catenatum, 861 nucleotides. RefSeq lists it as uncharacterized. NCBI's taxonomy places the organism in Eukaryota, Viridiplantae, Streptophyta, Magnoliopsida, Asparagales, Orchidaceae. The transcript is spliced from 4 exons. The record is from RefSeq and is a predicted model, not a curated record.